AAUAGUGAUAUUAAGCAAAACCCAAAAAAGACAGUCUCAGUUCGGAUUGAAGGCUGAAAUUCGCCUUCAUGAAGCCGGAAUUGCUAGUAAUGGCAGGUCAGCAUACUGCCGUGAAUACGUUCCCGGGCCUUGUACACACCGCCCGUCACACCAUGAGAGUUGGGGAUACCCGAAGCCUGUGAGCUAACAGUAAUGAAGCAGCAGUCGAAGGUAGAAUCAAUGAUUGGGGUGAAGUCGUAACAAGGUACC
Molecule: ribosomal RNA, 249 nt
Filed under: uncultured bacterium
Lineage: Bacteria
Description: partial 16S ribosomal RNA
Rfam family: Bacterial small subunit ribosomal RNA
Source: RNAcentral